AGAGAUAUAGUUUAAUGGAAAAACAUAAGCGUGCCACGUUUAAAAUUGAGGUUCGAUUCCUUGUGUCUCUA
This 71-nucleotide transfer RNA is filed under the name bacterium 336/3. It matches the Rfam family "tRNA". From Rfam's summary of the family: Transfer RNA (tRNA) molecules are approximately 80 nucleotides in length. Their secondary structure includes four short double-helical elements and three loops (D, anti-codon, and T loops). Further hydrogen bonds mediate the characteristic L-shaped molecular structure. tRNAs have two regions of fundamental functional importance: the anti-codon, which is responsible for specific mRNA codon recognition, and the 3' end, to which the tRNAs corresponding amino acid is attached (by aminoacyl-tRNA synthetases). tRNAs cope with the degeneracy of the genetic code in two manners: having more than one tRNA (with a specific anti-codon) for a particular amino acid; and 'wobble' base-pairing, i.e. permitting non-standard base-pairing at the 3rd anti-codon position. The record is from Rfam by way of RNAcentral. Lineage: Bacteria; Pseudomonadati.